GGUAGAAGCAUGGUUGUCGUCAACUCGGUGUCGACGGGAUGUGUGGGUUAAGUGCCGCAACGAGCGCAGCCCUUAAACUUAGUUGCCAGCAUUUAGUUGGGCACUAUAGGUUGACUGCCGGUGACAAACCGGAGGAAGGUGGGGAUGACGUCAAAUCAUCAUGCCCCUUAUGAUUUGGGCUACACACGUGCUACAAUGGACAAUACAAAGGGCAGCUAAACCGCGAGGUCAUGCAAAUCCCAUAAAGUUGUUCUCAGUUCGGAUUGUAGUCUGCAACUCGACUACAUGAAGCUGGAAUCGCUAGUAAUCGUAGAUCAGCAUGCUACGGUGAAUACGUUCCCGGGUCUUGUACACACCGCCCGUCACACCACGAGAGUUUGUAACACCCGAAGCCGGUGGAGUAACCAUUUAUGGAGCUAGCCGUCGAAGGUGGGACAAAUGAUUGGGGUG
RNAcentral lists this ribosomal RNA (450 nucleotides) under Staphylococcus equorum. RNAcentral's name for it is "bacterial SSU rRNA". It matches the Rfam family "Bacterial small subunit ribosomal RNA", at positions 1036 to 1482 of the family's 1533-position model. The record is from RNAcentral. Lineage: Bacteria; Bacillati; Bacillota; Bacilli; Caryophanales; Staphylococcaceae.